UCGACGCAGUCUUUUAGACUGAGUGGCGGACGGGUGAGUAACGCGUGAGAAUCUACCUUCAGGACGGGGACAACCGUUGGAAACGACGGCUAAUCCCCGAUGUGCCGAGAGGUAAAACGGAGUUUUCCGCCUGAAGAGGAGCUCGCGUCCGAUUAGUUAGUUGGUGAGGUAAAGGCUCACCAAGGCAGCGAUCGGUAGCUGGUCUGAGAGGAUGAGCAGCCACACUGGGACUGAGACACGGCCCAGACUCCUACGGGAGGCAGCAGUGGGGAAUUUUCCGCAAUGGGCGAAAGCCUGACGGAGCAACGCCGCGUGUGGGAAGAAGGCCUUUGGGCUGUCAACCACUUUUCUCAGGGAAGAAGUUCUGACGGUACCUGAGGAAUCAGCCUCGGCUAACUCCGUGCCAGCAGCCGCGGUAAUACGGAGGAGGCAAGCGUUAUUCGGAAUUAUUGGGCGUAAAGCGUCCGCAGGGGGCUCAUCAAGUCUGCUGUCAAAGGUCGGAGCUCAACUCCGGUUCGGCAGUGGAAACUGGUGGGCUAGAGGGCGACAGGGGUAGAGGGAAUUCCCAGUGUAGCGGUGAAAUGCGUAGAGAUUGGGAAGAACACCGGUGGCGAAAGCGCUCUACUGGGUCGCACCUGACCCUCAGGGACGAAAGCUAAGGUAGCGAAAGGGAUUAGAUACCCCUGUAGUCUUAGCCGUAAACGAUGGAUACUAGGCGUGGUUGG
Molecule: ribosomal RNA, 725 nt
Filed under: uncultured bacterium
Lineage: Bacteria
Description: bacterial SSU rRNA
Rfam family: Bacterial small subunit ribosomal RNA
Source: RNAcentral